CUGCCCCAUCUUAUUUUGCGCCCCAUUUUCUCAUGCGCCACUUUUUUCUCCAUACACAAAUCUAAUUGGGCAUCCCAUGGAAGUAUGGAUAAGGAGAAAGAGUCACAGUCUAAUAGGACUCUGAUUUUCUAACUUAAUUAUAAUCUGAUUUGAAUCCGAUUCGAAUCUAAAUUGAGUCAAACUCAAUUAAAAAUUAAAUUAAAAUC
This 206-nucleotide long non-coding RNA is filed under the name Elaeis guineensis (African oil palm). RNAcentral describes it as "long non-coding RNA (EGUI_LNC035640)". The record is from RNAcentral. Lineage: Eukaryota; Viridiplantae; Streptophyta; Magnoliopsida; Arecales; Arecaceae.